GAUGAAGAACGCAGCGAAAUGCGAUAAUUAAUGUGAAUUGCAGAAUUCCGUGAAUCAUCGAGUUUUUGAACGCAUAUUGCGCCCCUUGGUAUUCCUAGGGGCAUUCCUGUCCGAGCGUCAUUGCAACCCUUCAAGCACGGCUUGUGUGUUGGACGGCCGCCCCAGUGUGGGCGGGUCCCAAAUGCAGUGGCGGCGCCGCGAUCCGGGUGCUCGAGUGCAUGGAAACCACGCGCUCGUUAGGCCCCGUCGGGCGCCGGCCGACCUAAUUAUCUUCGUUCUGGUUGACCUCGGAUCAGGUAGGAAUACCCGCUGAACUUAAGCAUAUCAAUAAGCGGAGGA
This 339-nucleotide unclassified non-coding RNA is filed under the name soil metagenome. Its description in RNAcentral is "partial contains 5.8S ribosomal RNA, internal transcribed spacer 2, and large subunit ribosomal RNA". The stretch from base 1 to 120 matches the Rfam family "5.8S ribosomal RNA", at positions 35 to 154 of the family's 154-position model. The record is from RNAcentral.